UAUAGCGAAAAAAGUAUAUUGAAGUGGAAUAGUUGGUCAGAUUACACAGUGGAGACGAUGGAGCCUACUAAGAAGGAAGUCAAGUCGUCUUUGAGAGCUGCAGCAUGACUCGAUUAAGUGAUCGAAGUCCUUAAACUCAGGGACUGAGAAGACCCAUCUUAGCUCUACCCUGAUGUGUUGGGUUGUUUUGGACAAGGCACUUAGCCUGUCUAUGCCCACCUACUAUGAAAGCAUGCUGCCUAGUAUGAAACCUCCAGGGGCAUGAAGCCUCAGGCAAGUCCUUCAGGAGGAAUCCAGAAGAAGGCAUUGUUAUCACAGGAGAUGACAACUCCAUGCGUGUCAUUGUCCCUGAAGACCUUCCAGUGGGACAAGAUGUGGAGGCGGAAGACAGUGAUAUUAAUGAUCCUGACCUUGGGUGAUAUGGAGGUGAUCCUGGCCUGAAUAAGGUUUGAUGCCUGAGGUGGGCUGAGAAUGACUUCAAAGCCUACUCAAUGUGAAGACAAUGAAGAUGAAGACCUUAAUAAUGAUCUACUUACUCUCAAUGAAUAUUAAAUAUGUUUUCUCUUCC
Molecule: long non-coding RNA, 568 nt
Organism: Homo sapiens (human)
Lineage: Eukaryota; Metazoa; Chordata; Mammalia; Primates; Hominidae
Exons: 5
Source: RefSeq, a predicted model, not a curated record